RNAcentral lists this ribosomal RNA (451 nucleotides) under uncultured bacterium. RNAcentral describes it as "partial 16S ribosomal RNA". It matches the Rfam family "Bacterial small subunit ribosomal RNA", at positions 28 to 523 of the family's 1533-position model. The record is from RNAcentral.
GAUGAACGCUGGCGGCGGGCUUAACACAUGCAAGUCGAACGGGCGUAGCAAUACGUCAGUGGCAGACGGGUGAGUAACACGUGGGAAUAUCCCUCUCAGUUCGGAAUAACUCAGGGAAACUUGAGCUAAUACCGGAUACGUCCUUCGGGAGAAAGAUUUAUCGCUGAGAGAUUAGCCCGCGUCUGAUUAGCUAGUUGGUGAGGUAAUGGCUCACCAAGGCGACGAUCAGUAGCUGGUCUGAGAGGAUGAUCAGCCACACUGGGACUGAGACACGGCCCAGACUCCUACGGGAGGCAGCAGUGGGGAAUAUUGGACAAUGGGGGCAACCCUGAUCCAGCCAUGCCGCGUGAGUGAUGAAGGCCUUAGGGUUGUAAAGCUCUUUUGCCAGGGAAGAUAAUGACUGUACCUGGAGAAUAAGCCCCGGCUAACUUCGUGCCAGCCGCCGCGGUAA